This 1199-nucleotide long non-coding RNA is filed under the name Sus scrofa (pig). Its description in RNAcentral is "lncRNA (ENSSSCG00035064135.1)". Lineage: Eukaryota; Metazoa; Chordata; Mammalia; Artiodactyla; Suidae. The record is from RNAcentral.
CCUUCCCUGUGCACUUAUGCAUGGAGCCCUUCCCACACCGCUAUGUGCUGGGGGCUUCCCUCGGUGACUACACCUCCUACCUGUCCAGGAGUCCCUGAUACACUCAGCAUCCCCAGAAUGGACCACUCCUGCAAGUUCCCAGGCCGAGAACAAGACCAGCUACAGAGAGGCGGGAACAGACUCUGAGGAAGGAGGCUGUACUUAUGCAGAGCCGCUUCAGACCACAGGAGGUCCGAUCACUGAAGCAGCACAGGAGCAGCCUGCGCAAGGCCAGGAUAAUAAGAAGACCUGUUGGUGGGACUGAGCAAAUGAUUCGUCUUCUGGAAGCUGAGCACUGGGCUCACAGCGGGAUUUCGUUGGGGAGGCAGAGGUCUCUGGGCUUUGCACCCAGACAAGCCUUGGGGAAGCUGAGAGGACAGUCAGAGUCAGACAGAAAGCAAGCCCAACCCAUUCUCUAGAAGCAAAAUGUCCCAAUGAGGCAUAGUGGCCACUGGGAGGACUCUGAGGCCCACAGUACCGAGAGAAGAGAGCUGAGAUGUGGAUGUGGCCUUAGGGAUGACAUCGUUUCAUGCCACCCCAGGGAAGAGCUAGGCCACUCACUGGGAAGGGUGGUGGCNGGGGGGGCGCGGGGGGGGGGGGGGGGGGGGGGGGGGGGGGGGGGGGGGGGCUCUAGCAGAACCCGUGCUAGACCCUUCUGCGUUGGUGGCAUUUUGGUCUGCUUGUUUUUGGAUAUGGAUAUUUUCAGGGUGCUUGGGCCUCCACUGUUGCACGGUAAGGGCAACAGGCCCAGAAGAACCCUCCUCAGAGGCCACCAAACAAACAGCAGGAUGUCACGCACUCCUGGCCAGUGGUGAGGAUGGGGAGUAUUUUCAGACUUGUUCUAAAAAUUGGCACCAGCCAUGACAACAAUGACAAUGACAAUAAUCAUAACUCUCAUUCACUGAGCUCAGACCUGGGGCCAGGCUUGAACCUAGGACACACUGACAUCUUCUAAUUCCUGUUCCAGAGUUGGAGGGAAGUUCUGGCACAGCCCUUGAGCUAUUAUGAGGGUCGGUAGCUCAUCAGGCUCUCACAGCCCAUGGGGGGAGCAGCCUAGUGGCUCUGACACCAGGCAACAGCAGCCACUCUUGCCUCACAUGUGGGUCUGAGACCUGCCAUGAGGUUGGCCAAUAGUGUAUCAAUAACUGGUCACUCCUGCC